RNAcentral lists this ribosomal RNA (558 nucleotides) under Parasphingorhabdus flavimaris. RNAcentral's name for it is "bacterial SSU rRNA". It matches the Rfam family "Bacterial small subunit ribosomal RNA", at positions 113 to 705 of the family's 1533-position model. Lineage: Bacteria; Pseudomonadati; Pseudomonadota; Alphaproteobacteria; Sphingomonadales; Sphingorhabdaceae. The record is from RNAcentral.
ACACGUGGGAAUCUACCUUGGGGUACGGAAUAACGCAGAGAAAUUUGUGCUAAUACCGUAUAAUGACUUCGGUCCAAAGAUUUAUCGCCCUUAGAUGAGCCCGCGCAAGAUUAGCUAGUUGGUGAGGUAAAAGCUCACAAAGGCGACGAUCUUUAGCUGGUCUGAGAGGAUGAUCAGCCACACUGGGACUGAGACACGGCCCAGACUCCUACGGGAGGCAGCAGUGGGGAAUAUUGGACAAUGGGCGAAAGCCUGAUCCAGCAAUGCCGCGUGAGUGAUGAAGGCCUUAGGGUUGUAAAGCUCUUUUACUAGGGAUGAUAAUGACAGUACCUAGAGAAUAAGCUCCGGCUAACUCCGUGCCAGCAGCCGCGGUAAUACGGAGGGAGCUAGCGUUGUUCGGAAUUACUGGGCGUAAAGCGCGCGUAGGCGGUUAUCCAAGUCAGAGGUGAAAUCCCGGAGCUUAACUCCGGAACUGCCUUUGAAACUAGAUAACUAGAAUCUUGGAGAGGCGAGUGGAAUUCCGAGUGUAGAGGUGAAAUUCGUAGAUAUUCCGGAAGA